This 253-nucleotide ribosomal RNA is filed under the name uncultured bacterium. RNAcentral's name for it is "partial 16S ribosomal RNA". It matches the Rfam family "Bacterial small subunit ribosomal RNA", at positions 524 to 776 of the family's 1533-position model. The record is from RNAcentral.
UACGGGGGGGGCAAGCGUUGUUCGGAAUUACUGGGCGUAAAGGGCUCGUAGGUGGCCAACUAAGUCAGACGUGAAAUCCCUCGGCUUAACCGGGGAACUGCGUCUGAUACUGGUUGGCUUGAGUUUGGGAGAGGGAUGCGGAAUUCCAGGUGUAGCGGUGAAAUGCGUAGAUAUCUGGAGGAACACCGGUGGCGAAGGCGGGUCUCUGGGCAACAACUGACGCUGAGGAGCGAAAGCGUGGGGAGCGAACAGG